CAGCAGCCGCGUAAUACGUAGGGUGCAAGCGUUAAUCGGAAUUACUGGGCGUAAAGCGUGCGCAGGCGGUUAUAUAAGACAGAUGUGAAAUCCCCGGGCUCAACCUGGGAACUGCAUUUGUGACUGUAUAGCUAGAGUACGGCAGAGGGGGAUGGAAUUCCGCGUGUAGCAGUGAAAUGCGUAGAUAUGCGGAGGAACACCGAUGGCGAAGGCAAUCCCCUGGGCCUGUACUGACGCUCAUGCACGAAAGCGUGGGGAGCAAACAGGAUUAGAUACCCGGGUAGUCCCUGUCUCUUAUACA
Molecule: ribosomal RNA, 301 nt
Filed under: uncultured bacterium
Lineage: Bacteria
Description: partial 16S ribosomal RNA
Rfam family: Bacterial small subunit ribosomal RNA
Source: RNAcentral